This 31348-nucleotide long non-coding RNA is filed under the name Ananas comosus (pineapple). RNAcentral's name for it is "long non-coding RNA (ACOM_LNC002182)". The record is from RNAcentral. Lineage: Eukaryota; Viridiplantae; Streptophyta; Magnoliopsida; Poales; Bromeliaceae.
CAACUAAACUCUCUGUUGAUGAUGUUUAUGUGUGUAAUUUAAUUACAUAAGCACUCGUCAAGUUUUAGGAGAAAAUGAGCUUAAACGGAGAAGUUACGCGAUUAUUAGUUUUCACUUAAGUGAAUAGUAACUCCGGUUUUCCGGAGAAGCCACGGAGUAGAGUUGGCUUCUGGUGCGUAUCGGACUCCGUUCAUAUCAGUCCAAUAGCUCGUUUCGACCGGUUCGGCUGUUCUGGAACUUGUGGCGCUAAUGGAUUUUGAGUUUGACGCACGAAUUUCGAGAAAAUCCAAAAAUACAUGUUUUAUAUGUAUUUGUGCGUGAGUGUUUCCUUCUAUUGGAAGAAGGUUGGAUUUUGUCGUGAAUCCGUGGUCGAUCGAGAUGAAUCGAAGGUGUAGCUUUGUUGUCUCCGAGGUGCUGAUCGCACUGGUGCAAUCCGUUCGCAAAUCUGACGGACGGAUCUGCGGAGAUCGCGCGUUGAUCGAGGAGAGGUCGGUGUUGGCAAAACGGUAGUUUCGCAAAAGUCGCGACAUUUUAUGUACCGUUUCGCGUGAAAUCGCACGUAGAGGGGUAUUCGCGCGUUUUACUUGUGCUGUGAGGGACUGGGUAAGAAAUACCAAGCUUCGGUGGACUUUUGUGCAAAAUUGCACUUAGUAUACAAUGUGCAUCUAGGGUUUCUAUGCACGAAACCCUAGAUCUGGCCGACCCUGUCUCCCAGCUGUGCCCUAACCGCCAUCUGCAGGUCCAUGCCCUAGCAGUGCGCGCAGUCCGGCCGCCGGCAAGCUUCCCCGGCCGCCGGAAACCUGGAUCGGUCUCUCCUCUACCAUCUUCUCCACCUAGCCACCACAUUCGUUGGUCUUCGAGCUCGUGAGGGAACAUGGCCAUGUGCCGAACGACAUAGCCAUGUUCCGGUUUGGGCACCCGUGGUUGGAGGACAGCGCGUAGGACUUGGCCAUGUCUGCCUGGGAACAUGGCCAUGUCGUUCGCUGAAGGGUGCCACCAACAUGGCCAUGUCUGGUUGGGAACAUGGCCAUGUCGUCUCAUUUUUAAGACGUUAAAGCGUCUAAAAUUGUGUCUUUCUACUGGAGUGCAGCGUGUCUCAGGCAAAGCGCAGAUAAACUGCGGUUGCGUUGAGCUCGAACAGAGCUGUGAGAGGUCUCGACAGCUGUUCAGGGGUGACUGUCUUUGACCCAGAGUGUAGGCCGCUGACACCCUUCGUGUACUCGCUGUGCUUCAAGUCGGUGCAUCGCGCGUGUCGCGGAUUUAGUGUAGAUUGUGCGUUUGGCCCCUUGGCAACUGGGGCUGCCUCCACUCUUGCUACGAGUCGUGCCUCAUUGCUACUAGCACGAGUGAAGGUGACAGUAGCCCCAUGGAAGCCUAACGGGCUUUCCACUGGCCUUGGGAUUUGAUGUCACGACCUUGAAUUUUGUCAUCGUAUGGCCUCACGUCCCUCGAUCCCAACCGGCGGCCGCCGGCCUGCCGCCCGCGAGGCCGGCCCCUUCCCACGCCGUGCAGCCUCCCCAGGCCCCGUUCACGACCGGCCGCCGCCCACCGCCGGCCACCGCGCCGCCUCCUCUAGGUUAGGAGCUGAACGAGAGCCCAAGUUCCCAAGGGCCGCCGCGCCGCCGCCGGCCUUCUCCAGCCCCACCGCUGCUUGGCCGCCGCCUCCGGCUCCUCUUCCGCCACGUUGGGGGCCAACCGCCGCCGCCGCGAACCUUCGGCUCGCCCGGGCUGGAGCCGGGCGUACCCAGACCCGCCGGCGUCCACUGGAGUCGCCGCUGGCCGCCGCGCGCCCCUGCCGCCCCCUGCUCGCGCGGCCCAACGGCCUCCAGCGGCCCCAGCUGUCCUCCCGCCGCAACGGUUUCUCUCCGCAGCCGCCGAGCCCCUAUGGCUCUAGUGGGUCCGAGCCGGACCCACUGACGCCCACCGGCGUCCAUCGACCCCGCCGCGGCCGCCGCGCACGUCCGCCACUGCCGGCCGUCCCUGCCGCGGCCCCUCAAGGCCCUCCCACUGCGAAGGGUAGGGCUCGCCGUCGUCCCGCUCCUCCUCCUCCAGGGUGCCGGAGCCGGUCUAGACGAGUCUAGACCGGCGUAGAUCGGUCCCGCCGCCACCGCCGCGAGGCCCCGCCGGCCCUGCCGCCGCCGGCCGCCGCUUCUACGACCUCCUCCCAGAGCCGGUCUCCCACGUCAGAGCUGCACCUACCAGUGGGGANGUAUAUGUACUUUUGGACAGUCACUACAGUUGUGAUACUUCGUUGAUGGUUGAGAUUUUGGGAUUGUAUACUCUUUGUUCUUUUGUUGAUAUAUCGACUUGUACAUUGCUCUGAUAUCAGGAUAGGACUCUCCUUGUUUUACUUCCUAUCGACUUGUUUUUUUUUCGUAGACGCCUUAUAUACUGCAGGUGUAUGGCGGGUCUGUGCACGUACCGGAUAUGCUUCCGCUGGUACCCGGGCGUGACACAAACAAAUAACAAUGAGCGGGUGCUCGCAAGCGAGCCAUCCAAACUUCUGCUUACUCCGAAACACAGCUUUCCUUCCUUGCCUAUUAUCAUUGCCACUGCUAUUAAAAAAAAAAACUAAUGCCAAAAUCAAGAAAAUAAAACAUGUAGUGAAAAUUAGAAAAAAAAAAAUAUUAGCAAAUCUCAGUGGAAAACUUAGGUUAAAAUAAUAUAACAACAUAAGUUUCACCAUGGUAAGAAAAUAGCAGUAGCAGGAAUGCAUUGCUGAGAAAACAAAAAGCAGAAAAAAGUUUAAUCAGUACAGAUAGAGAUUUAAAUAUACUUGUGCCGAAACCGAGCUAAUCAAACAAACAAUAGUGAGUAGUUGCUUGUGAGUGGGCUGACCAAACUUUGAAAUUUUUGCUUGCUGCAACUCAUAGUUUUUUUCUUCGCUUACUGUUACUGCUUGGGAUACCAAAGACAGAUAAAAAAAAAAACUUUAAAAUAUAUCGGGAACAAGAAAGCAUUUAGCAAAUACAGAUUAAAUUAUUUAAAUCGAUAUAACCUAGUAUAAGAAUAAAUCUUUAGAACAUUAUGUGUACAGAAAACAAUCACAUUAUACACAAUGGAAGAAAAAAAUAGAAAAAAAGAAAAAGAAAAAGAGUUUUACACAUAUUUGAACAUACGGUGAAAAUCAGAAAAAUAAAACAUGUAUUGAAAAUCAUGAAGACACAUUAGAAAAUCUUGGUGCAAAAACGAACACAGCAAACAAAUUAGGAAGAUUCAGAUAUAACCACAGAUCUCUCUCUUAUAAAAUUCUAUAAAAUCUUUUCCUCUCUCCUACUACUCUCUCUCUUAUCCCUCCCUUGUUGGAUCGCUCAAUCAUAUCAUAUCAUAUCUAUCUAUACAUCACAUUAUCUGACACUCCUAAGAAAGCCACCUGUGCUCUCUCAUGACGCUUCUCUCUCCCUCCUCCCUCUUUUUAUCUCUUAUAAAAUCCUAUAAAAUCUUACAGAUCUUCUCAUCUCCCUUCCACUCCAUACUCUCUCUCCUUUACCCUCCCCCAAUCUUUUUUUAACAAAAUUCUAUAAAAUCUUACAAACUCUUCUCAUUUCUCUCAUACUACUCUCUCUUAUCUCUCAUUCUUACUAAGUCUCUCAAUCAUAUCAUGUCCUAUAAAGUUUUAUAAAAUUUUCUUUUCUCCCUCCUGCUACUUUCUCUCUCUCUUACUGGAUCUCUCAAUCAUAUCCUAUAAAGUUUAUAAAAUCUUCUCAUUCUCGAUCUCUUACUGGGUCUCUCAAUUAUAUCAUAUCAUAUCUUAAACGAUCUUCUCAAAAUCCUUCUAAUAUUUUCUUUGUUUUGACGAGAACGGGGAUGAGAAGAUCUCGCAUGCAGAGCUGCAGAGUUGCAUGCGGAGCAGCAUCAGGGACGAGCUGUCGGCCGGGGCGGAAAAAGUAGUGGUAACAAUUUAUUACUAAUGUAGAUAUUUGUGUUGGUUUUUUUAAUAAAUCAAUAGGCUUAUAAUUAGGGGUGUAAAACGGGCCGGGCGGCCCGCGGCCCGCCCGGCACGGCACGAGAGUGGGCCGGGCCAGGCACGGCACGAGUACUGUAGCAUGCCGUGCCGGCCCGGCCCGGCCAGUUAAAUCGGGCCGUGCUGGGCCUUGCUCCUGCUGCCCGAUGGCCUAGCAUGGCCCGGCACGACAUAGGCCUGGGCUGUGCCUGGCCUAAAGGGUACCCAGGCCUGGCCUGGCACGGCACUGCCCGGCCCGUGUGGCCAGGCCCUCCCGAGCCGGGCCCAGGCAGGGACUUGGGUACAACCCAACUCCCAAGGCCCUGCAUCACCCAACUCCCAAUGCUUUGGGAGUUGGGCUGUUGCUUUGGGACUCCCAACAGUUAAAAGAGUUGGGCUGUGGCUUUGGGAGUUGGGCUUGGACUAAAAUGCCCUUCCCAACAGUCAAAAAUUUGACUGUUGGGAGGAUAUUUUGGUCCAAAAAAUUUAAAAUUUUAAAAUAAUUUAAAAUUUUAAUAUUUUUAUAAAUAUAUUUUAAAAUUUUAUUUUUUUUGCUGAUUUUAUUUUUAAAAAAUUAAUAUUUUAUUUUUUAUUUUAAAAAAUUUAAAUAUGUUUUAAUAAAAUUAAUAAAAUAAAAAGAGGCGGCCUGAAGCCGGCCCGGCCCGGGCACGGGCCCGUGUCAGACUCCGGGCGCGGGGGCAUGGCUGGGUGGGUUCCAAGACUUUAGGCCCGGCCGCAACGCACGGGCCGUGCGUGCCGGGCUGGCCCGCGACCCGUUCGGCCCGAAAAAUGUGGGCGGGCCGCCCGGCACAGCCGCACUUUACAUCCCCUACUUAUGCACGGCCCAAUUACAUCCCUAUUUAUAAUACAACUGACUUAAGUUGCAUAUACUUUCUUUAAGAGAAACUCUUAAUAUAGAGUCAGCGACUGCAAUGAUACUAAAUGAAUUCGACAUAAUAAUUUUAAUAUUUUGGUUUUAUGGAAUAUCUAUAAAUACUAAUUAAAUGUAUUAUACUUAGAUUUUUUAUAACGUAUAUAAGAAUACUCUAAUGGGCAUUUUUAAGUGAUGUAUUUCUUUAUUUAUAACUUCUUCAAUAUUUAAUUUUUAAUAAUAAUAUAUAAUAAUUAAUUAAAAUAAUAUUUACCCACUAAGAAUCGGGGGCCUAUACUAAUAUAAUAUAAUAUAAUGGUAGCGCUAGUAGUUGCUGCAGUACUACUACUAAUAAUAAGAUAUUUAAUAUUAUAUUAUAAUUAUUAUUAUAAGAUAUUUUAAUAUAUCUAAAAUUAAUAAGCUAAGCAUAACAUAAGAAUAACUUUAUUCCUAUUACCGACUGCCCCUAGAGCAAGUGGCAAAAGACUUAGUAGUUGGUAUCCGAGACCCAAGUUCGAAUCCUAGUUGAUUCACAUUUCUAGCUAAGUCUAUUUCUAAAUGAAAUAAACGAAGCGGUAGCGUGGUACCUAUCUCUCAAAAAAACUUUAUUCCUAUUAAAAAGUUAGAAUAUUUAUUUCCAGAUUACUCUAGAAUUAUCUAGAAUAAUUCAGUUUGACUAUGGAAUAGCUAUUUUUGUACACUAUUUUGGCGGAAAAAGAAUUCUAAAUUUUUUUGUCCUCGGUUUUUUCUAAAACCAAAUAAAGCUUCAGAAAAAUUAUUUCUUCAAAAAAAUGUUUUCCAUAGAAAAUGCUUUUUUUCAGAGUUUUCAUUUUUUGGAUAAAAAGUUGAAAAAUGAAUACACUUGAUUUUCAUAAAAUUUAGAAUUCUUUUUCUAGAAAAUUAUUUUUUUAAAAACCAAACGUAGAAAACAGUAUUUUCCAAUCCAAAAUGUAUUUUCUUAUUAGAUAUUUUCGUAGAAUUGAACUCCCUACAUGUAAAUCAGUAAAUUACACUUUGGCUCGUCAAACUAUACGGUGACUGAUACUUUUGUUUCUAAAUCUUUAAUUUAUUAUACUUUUUGCUUAAAUCUUUUAAAAUUAUUAUAACCAAGUCCCACUGUUGGAUAAAAUUAAUUAAAUACUCAAAAAUCAAUCGUCGCAAAAAUCACAUAAAUUUUUACAUACCUCUUUCUGGUGCGGAAUUGAUGUUGUGAUUAUCAGGAUCUGAUCUCGUCUUGUUUUACGAACUCGUUGAUCCGCCAACGUCCUGUCUCAAUUUGUUGCACGUUGUUCUUACUCGUUGCAAUCCGGCUACUAGAGUCGAUCACCGCACACCGCCCAAAUUCCUAGGGUUUAUGAUGGUGCCCUAGAGCGAACCCGAGAGAGAGAGAAUUUUGGUGGAGAGAUGAUUCUUAUUUUUUUCGUUAUCUUGUAUGUGGUCAAUACCUCAUGUAUUUAUAGGCCAUAAGGGGGACGUUAAUCCUAAUCAUAUUCUGACUAAAUCUCACAUAGAUAGAGAUUUAAACAGAUUAGGAUUUAUCAGUUAGAUUUAUUCUUUAUCCAAGUGGACUAGAAAUAUAACAGAUAAUUAUAAAUAUUUAUUUCUUAUCCCAUAUGGAUUAGAAAUAUUUUAGAUAAGUCCCAAUAUGGACGAAUCGUAAUAUCUCCCACUCGUACACACUUGGUACUUAUUCAUACUUUCUCAUCCCAAAUAUAUUCUUAUCUCGUUCUGCUCUUCAUACGAGAAAUGGUUGGUGCGAUCAAUAACGAGAAGAAUCAUAAGUGAGGAGUGUUAUAUUAAGCCACCAUCCGAACUAACAUAACACUACAACUCCAAAUCUCGUCUAUACCCCAAAUCACUGAACUACACCAGAUCAUAGCAUCUCUGAUCCCUUAGAGCAAACUAGAUCUCUCUCAUUAAUGUAUUUGUUCUCAUGAUUAUAUUGACAACAAAUAUCAACAUAAUCGCCCAGGCAAUGAGUAACAAAUCAUAGGUAUAUUAUCAAAUGAUUUUUCAUUAGAUGCCCCAUGUCAAUCCAUUUCAACUUGACUGCUUUCCUAGACAUGUUCCGCUGGACCGAAUCAAUCAUGACCCUUGAAUAUCAUGCUAAAGUAGCAUCAUCAAGUAUCCACUUCAUAACAUGGUUCUAAGUCCCAAAGGGUAUGCAAAGCUCACACAGCGACGAAACGGGAAUCAAUUUCGUCACUUUCUAAAACAUAGUGAUCGAUCUUGCACAUACAGUAUGAACGUAUGCUAUGGUGGAGCUACCUCUAAGGACAUGUCACGCUCAAAACACCAUACGAAUGUCGAUUUUGUUGUAACUUAAGACAACAAACCUCAAGACAGUCACCCACAUAGUGUCUUCUUUACAUUCGGCUUCAUACAGGCCGAGUAGAGUCGUGGACCAUCUCUACUAUCGACUUCGUACAGUCUCAUCUUAGCUUAUCUAAGGCGACAUUUAAAGUUUAAACACUCGCCAGCUCUUAUAGUGCAAAGUGGAUCACCUGCAUUACUAACUACAUUUAUGUGAUCUUAUUUGUCUCAUCCUGCUCGCUCUCCUAGCGACAGGGCGAUCACCCGUGUGAGAGGGCUGAUCAAUGGCCUGGUAACAUUCAUUCUCACAAGGAUAUUGUGCACUAAUUUAAAAUUAAAUAAACAUGUAUAUGAAUGAAAAAAGAUAUCAAAAAUAUUUAUUAGCAAAAUUAUUAAUACAAGAUAUAUGAGAGUCAAGCCCUACACAAACCCAAUCCUCUAACAUGUUUAUGAAAAACAUUUCUAACAAGGGGUUUGGUAAAAGGAUCUGCUAUCAUAUCAUCAAUAGAUGCAAAUUUAAUUACAAUCUGUCCCUAUGCAAUUAUAUCUCUAAUGAAGUGAUAUCUAGUCUCAAUGUGUUUAGAUCUUCCAUGAUACUUUGGAUCCUUGGCAUAAGCUAUUGCUGCUUUGUUGUCACAAUAGAUAAUAACAGCAUCAUCAGCAUGAGCUGUUACACUCAAAUUUAUCAUAAAUCUCCUUAGCCAAACAGCCUCUUGUAUUGCUACUGUACAUGCAAUGUACUCCGAUUCCAUAGUUGAUAAGGAGACACAUGGUUGUUUCUUGCUACACCAUGAAAUAGCAGCUCCUCCAAGUAUAAACGCAUAUACCGAGAUAGAUUUGCGUUCAUCUCUAUCUGCGAAUCCAUCAGCGUCGGUGUAUCCCGUCAAUCUAAGCUCUCCUUCAUGAUAGCAUAGAGCAAGGUUCACAGUACCUCGCAGAUAUCUGAAAAUCCUUUUAACUGCUUGCCAAUGUGCUGCACUAGGAUUACUCUGAUAUCGACUAACCAUACCAACAGCGAAACAUAUGUCUGGUCGAGUACAUAUCAUUGCAUACAUCAAGCUGCCGACUGCACUCGCAUAUGGGACUUUUUUCAUCUGCUUUCUCUCUUCUUCUAUUUUAGGGCAUUGUUCAAGGCUAAGAUAAUGACCCUUUUCCAUUAGAGUGUCAAUAGGUUUCGAAUUAUGCAUUCGGAAUCGCUCCAAAAUUCUUUUAAUAUAAGUCUCUUGAGACAAACUUAAGAAUUUUCGAGAUCGAUCCCUAUGGAUCUUGACUCCCAAUACAUAAUCUGCUUGUCCCAUGUCCUUCAUCUCAAAAGUUGAGGACAACCACUUCUGUGUGGUGAUUGUUAACUCCAUAUUAUUUCUGACUAACAAGAUAUCAUCUACAUAUAGUGAAAGAAUAAGAAAACAUUUUUCUUCCCUUUUAACGUACACGCAAUGGUCUUCUUCGAUCAUCACAAAGCCUAUUGAUAUAAUUGCUCUAUGAAAACGUUGAUACCAUUGCCUAGACGAUUGUUUCAAGCCGUAAAUGGAACGUUUUAAGCGGCACACUUUGCGCUCUUGUCCUUCGGCUAUAAAACCAGGAGGUUGAUUCAUAUAAAUCUCCUCGUCUAGUUCUCCAUUGAGAAAUGCAGUCUUCACAUCCAUUUGGAACAGUUCCAAAUCUAAAUGUGCGACGAUAGCCAGAAUCAGGCGAAUUGAGACAAACCUCACCACUGGGGAGAAUGUCUAUUCAUAGUCUACUCCUUUUUUUUGGGUGUAUCCUUUCGCCACUAAUCGGGCUUUAUAUUUGUCAAUUGAUCCAUCCGCCUUACGUUUUAUUUUAAAGAUCCAUUUAUUUCCAAUAGUUUUUCGUCCAGACGUAAGAUCAACUAACUCCCACACAUUAUUCUUAGCCAUAGAACUCAUCUCAUUCUCCAUAGCAGCUAGCCAUAUAUCACAAACUGGUGAACUCAUAGCUUCAGCAUAAGAAGCCGGCUCAUCAACAUCCGUAGAAGCACACAUGAACGAUUCCCCUUCAAUCUCAAAUCGACGACGGGGAACACCUCCACGUUUACUUCUUCGUAAUGAUGGACUUUGUGAGCCAUGGUCAAUCGGCACACUCCCACUGACCAUAGGAUCACUCCCACUGUUUUGGGCUAUUUCUUCAUGUGGCCUCAGUGCCUCAUUCUCGCCUAACAAUGGGACAUUUUCAUUAGGUUCUUGCAACUCGUAUAGUGCAAGAUCCUUUUUAAUCUCACCAAUGUCUGAAAAAUCAUUCUCAAGAAAAUCCAUAUCACGCGACUUUAUCUCAGUCAUUACUCCAUCAGGAUGCUUGCCAUACAUCACAUAGCCUUUCGAGCAAUCAGAAUAUCUAAUAAAAAUUUAUUUAUUUGCUCUAGGGCCUAACUUUCCAUAUUUAUGGGAAGUAUUAUGCACAUAUCCUGCCGAUCCCCAUGGUCGUAAGCCUUUCAAAUUUGGCUUUAUUCCAUGCCAUAACUCAUAGGGAGUUGAAGGAACUGAUUUAGAGGGCACUCGGUUAAGUAUAUAGGCAGCAGUCAACAACGCAUCACCCCAAAAACUAAUUGGGAGGUUGGCUUGCGCCAUCAUUGACCUAACCAUUUCCAAAAGUGUCCUAUUUCUCCUCUCUGCAACACUAUUUUGUUUCGGAGUACCAGGAAUAGUUAACUGUCUGCGUAUUCCCUUUUCCUCACAUAGUUCCCUGAACUGGUCUGAUAAAUACUCUCGUCCUCUAUCAGUACGUAGAACUUUUAGAGUUCUUUCUGUUUGGUUCUCAACCUCCACUAAGAAGCGUUUAAAAUAAUCUAAAGCUUCUGAACGGUGAGACAACAGAUAUACCGAACUAUAACGGGAGUAGUCAUCAAUAAAAGUGAGGAAAUAGUACGCGCCAUGACGUGCUCUUACAUUCAUAGGUCCGCAUAUGUCUGAAUGAACUAGCUCCAAUGGAUGAGUUGCUCUACGUGCCUUACCAAAAGGCUUUAUGCAGGCUUUUCCUGCUAAACAUGGUUCACAAGGAGGUAGGCUAAGCUUAGCGAGUGACCCCAAUAGGCCUUCUCUAGCUAGUCGAGCCAUCCUUUCUUGUCCAAUGUGACCCAAUCUCGCAUGCCAUUUGAUAGAAUCAGAUACAAUAUCAAAAGAAACUAAUAAAGCAGAAUUAUUGUUAUGAUUAAUAAAAUCCAAGUCCAAAUCUAAAACAAAGAAAUCAUUCUUUAAAUAACCAUUACCAUAAAAGUCCUUGCCCAAAUAAAUAGCUAACUGAGUAUCCGUAAAUUGAAAAGAAAAACCUAAUCUAAGUAACGCUAAAACUGAUAGUAGAUUACAUCGGAUGUUCGGUGCAUACAGCACAUCAUGUAAUAUCAAAUAACGAUCAUUGCACAAUCUAAGUUGGUAUGCGCCAAUUCCAAGGACUUCUUCCUCAGUGCCGUUUUCCAUCAUGACAUAAUGGCUGCUAGCAGAUACCCGACGAUAAUCCACAUAUCCCGCUCGAUCUCUCAUUACAUGCUUUGUUGCUCCUGUGUCUAUAAUCCAAUCAGAGAGAGCGUGAGCAACAAAAACGUGCGACCAUACAUAAAUAAGAGAGUCAGGAUUGGGAUUUACCUUUUUUGGCUUAGUGCAAUCACGAGCGAAGUGUCCCAUGUCUCCACAGUUAUAGCAUUUCACCUCAUUUAAAUUUUUUUUUCCGCGCCUGCCUUUUCGGCGCUUCUUAAUUCCGCCCUCAUUCGUCGCGCGGUUCCCAGUCUUUGCAUAUUUAUUUUCUCCAUUUCGGCACUUGUGCUUAGGCCACUUGCCUCUGCGCUGUCCACCGUGGGCAACGAGUGCAUUGGCACGGUUUGCCUCUCUGCGCCCCGCUUCCAACUCAAGAUGUCGAGCUAUAUUGUUGAAGGUCUUGAUACCUUCAUUAUGAGUCAGCACAACCUUGAUUUGAUCCCAAGAUGAAUCUUGUAAGGACCUUAUAACUGAUUGAACCUGUUGUUCAUCAGUGAACUCGCAACCGGCUACUUUAAGCUCUCUUAUCAUAGCAGACAUCACCCUUAAGUGCUCUGUUAUAGAAUGCUUCGGGUCCAACAAGUAUUGAUUGAAUUUGAGAUUCAAGGCACGAAGUCUUGUGGUCAAUGUGCCCCCAUAUUUCACUUUGAGCUGCUCCUACAUAUUUUUAGUAGUCUCAUAAUUCUCAAAUUCUUUGAUCAAAUCAUCGUGCAUACAGCUCAACAUUGUAUAGCGUGCAAUGCGAUCUUUCUCAAGUCACUCGUUAUAGGCUUGUAAAUCGCGACGGUGCUGAGCCGUCGUGCCUUUUUCAGGCUGAACCAUACUGUUGGUUAGAUGGCUAAAUAUCCCUUUCUCAUUAAGAAGAUAUUGAAUUUUUCUAUACCACAUGUUAUAAUUUGCUCCAUCAAGCUUAUUUUGAUUUAACGAAUCCGCGAUAGAAAAAUUUUUUAAAGCCAUUUAUCACUACAAUAAUGCACAUAAUUUUAAAUUAGGCACAAAUAUCCACAAUAUUAUUCUUAAUCUAAUUUGAUAAUAAUCUCAUCCAAUGCAGAUAAAAAAAGAUAUCAAAUUAAUUACGAAUAAAUCCACGUCACAAAAUAAAUGAUGAACAUUAUGCAAUAACACAUUGCAACUUGAAAAAUAUCAUCACAUGUAUCAUAGCAAGAAACAAUAUAUAAUAAUAGCGAUUGCAUAUCAUAAUAUUAUAUAUAAAUGAAAGACAUGCAUAAUUUACAUAAAAACUUGUUAGUCAGGAUGGAUAAGAACCAGUGGUUUGAAGUUCAAGUUGUCGGUUCCAUUAUAUAUAUAUAUAUAUAUAUAUUAUUCUCUUUUAUAAAAUCAUGCAAGCCCAUGGGUUGAGGUCGGGUUGGGCUUAGGCCUAUAUGACGUGGACUUAGAGAGCCUACAGGCCCAGUCCUACGAGGGGGCUAGCCAGGAAGCCCGCAGGUCCAUCCAGGGCGGGCCGCCCAGCAAGCCCAGCGCGGGCGGCUUCACAAGGCCACAGGCCCUGUGUAUGCGGGCCCCUGCAGGCCCUGCACUAGCAGUCCUUCCAAGCCCAGAGCGGGCAGAUCCCGCAAGCCCACAUGCAUACGGUUUGCCUCAUGUGAUUCAUUUUAUUUUAACAAAUUAAAAAUAUAUAUGAUGUUAAAAAAAAUGAAUUAUUCGAGCGAAAACAAGCACUAUAAGGCUCUGAUACCACUGUUGGAUAAAAUUAAUUAAAUACCCAAAAAUCAAUCGUCGCAAAAAUCACAUAAAUUUUUACAUACCUUUUUUCUGGUACGGAAUUGAUGUUGUGAUUAGCAGGAUCUGAUCUCAUCUUGUUUUAAAAAUUCGUUGAUCCGUCAACGUCCUGUCUCAAUUUGUUGCACGUUAUUCUUACUCGUUGCAAUCCGGCUACUAGAGUCGAUCGCCGCACACCGCCCAAAUCCUUAGGGUUUAUGAUGGUGCCCUAGAGCGAACCCAAGAGAGAAAAUUUUGGUGGAGAGAUGAUUUUUUUUUUUUGUUAUCUUGUAUGUGUCAAUACCUCAUGUAUUUAUAGGCCAUAAGGGAGACGUUAAUCCUAAUCAUAUUCGGACUAAAUCUCACAUGGAUAGAGAUUUAAACAGAUUAGGAUUUAUCUGUUAGAUUUAUUCUUUAUCUCCAGUGGAUUAGAAAUAUAACAGAUAAUUAUAAAUAUUUAUUUCUUAUCCCGUAUAGAAAAAAAAAAAAAAAAAAAAAAUCAAAUAUGGAGUUAUUUGGGGUACACUCUAGGGUUCGCACAGCAGUACUCCGAAGAAAAAGACACACACAACACGCGCAUAUAUCAAAAAGCACGGCUCCUUCCCCUGCAUAUUCUCUUCCCAUAUCUCUCUCUCCAAUUGAGUAAAAAAACCCCUCACGCACACUCUCUCUCUCUCUCUCUCUCUCUCUACCCCAAACCUCUUUUCCACUCCCUCUCCCAAAUUCAAACCUCACAGAAGCCGCUCACACCAUCCCCCAAAUCCCAAUCCCUCCUCCUCCCUCUCAAAGAUUCAAUCUUUCUCCCCUUCUCCAUCUCCUCUCUCCUCUUUUCCCUUCAAUUCCCUCUUCUUCUUCAUCUUUAUACGCCCAAGAUCCAAGUUUUCCUCUUCCUCCCCACUCCCCACCCUAAUUUUCCCCUUGCCCAUCUCUUGUUUUGGGGUUUCUUUGGCGAUUUGUAGAGGUUUGUUGUGUGCUUUUGCCCCCUUUGGAUCUGUGGGGGCCAUGUUUGUGGCGCCCCGGUCGUUCUUGAAACCCUAGGCGGCGGAGGGGGCGGAAUUAGGGUUUCGGAGGAGAUGUUGGAGGAGGAGAGGAAGUGUAAUGGGGCGGCGGUGAAGGUCGAGGAUUCGGCCAGGGAGGAGGGGCUUAUCACUUACAAGAGGCGGAAGCGCCCAAGGCCGAGUCCCGAUGAUGGAGGGGUUAGGCGAAAGAUAUCAUUUUUCCUCUUCUUUUUGUCUUUUGUUGCUUCUGCUUAUAUAGGUUUUUCUUUUUUUCUUCUUUUUUGUGAUAUUUGUUGUUAAUUAAAGGCCAUAAUUGGGUUUAACUAUCCACUUGGUGCUUAAGUUUAAUAAAUUGCCAAGGUUACUUCUUGAUGCAAGAAAUGGGAAAAUGCUUCUUGAUGCAAGAAAUGGGAAAAAGAGAUUCCGGGGAAAAAUGAUAAUUUCUAUGUAGUCAAUUACGACUAUUGGUAAAUUAAGCUUCGUUUUUGCCUUCACAUUUAGUAAUUGUGCUACACACACACACGAAUACGCUGGAAUCUUGAUUCUUGUAAACGUAUACGAAAAUAUACACUGGAAUCUUGAUUCUUGUAGCAAUAAUGAUUUAAUUGUUUUGACAUUACUUUUCUGUGUAAUAGUAAUCUCAGGCAUGUCUUGUUUGUUCUAUCUUAAUGAGGAAACAGAGCUGCUUAUUAAGUUAUCUGAUACGUGGGAAUUGUAUUUUUAUAAAGGUAUAUUUUUUUGUCUUGAUGGGAGUGUAAUAGUAAGCUUGUACGUUUAGGACCGAGCUGAACAUCUUAUUAUUAUUUUAAGUGGUUGUAAUAUCUAAAAGAUGCUGAAAUCAUGGUGUGCUUUCAUAUUUGUUUAGAAUAGUUAGUGAUUGCUAUGGAGUUGUUUGUCAUUUGAUCAAACAUUAUUGUAUGGAAUGUUUGGUGAAACUGAAAUCUGAUGAUGAUGUAGUGAGAAAUCUAACAUAGUUUGUUGUCCGUUGGGGAAAUUAUCAACCAAAACUACAAAUAUAUGUAAAGCAUGUUCUAGUUAGUUAAGCUAUAUUUUUAAUGAUACUACAGAAUUGUUAUUGAAAAUGAUUUUGGAUGUGUUUUUCUUUGAGAAUAUUCAUCUUCCUGAGUGAUAUUAUCAUAAGAAAUUUGUUUUUCACCUUAUAUGUUGUGCGGACUUGUAGGCCUCUGACAAUUCCAACAGAAAGAGGGAAAGGGAUAUUGGGUGGGACCAUGCGAUGAUGGUCGAUGGAAACAGAUUGCACUGGCAAUGCAAUUGGUGUGGACUAACACGAUACAAUGGGGGUGUCUCUCGACUGAAGUGGCAUCUCGCUGGUGGCUUCGCGGUUCGUAAGUGCCCGAAUGUUCCGGAAGAAGUUUCUAGAAUGAUAAAGAACAAUCUCUUUAUGAAACGGAGGUCCAAGAAAAGGAGAUUGGAUAUAUCCGGUGGUACAGAUAAUAUGACAAUAUUAAAUUGUUGCAAUGGCGAUGCCGCGAAUGAUGAAAAUCAUUUGCCUGUUGACCUAGAGUUGCAGGUGGAAAGUACUGCUAGGGUUUCAAAGGGAGCCACUAGACAAUCCGAGGCUGACCAUGAUCCAACUACUAAGGUAUUAGAUUUGUUCUAACUAGUUUUCUCCUUAAUGCUUGAUCUUUGGUUUUUAUGCUGCACUCUCACUAGUAUGAUGUUAAUGCCCAAUCUAUCUUUUAUUUUUCUUUUGGCUCGAUGCAUCACCUUGAAGAAAUCAUGGUGUAAUCUCACUAAUUCUGUUCAUUUCUGAGUAAUAAUAUGCUUAAUUUUGUGCUGCAGGGUAUGGAAGAUAUUACUGGCACAGUAUUAUCAAAAUGCCCUUACGAGCAAAAUGUUAAUGGUAGAACAAAUAGUAUAUGGAGCCACUGGAGAGAUGUUUUGAAAAACAUGCUGCAAUUACCAUCAAUAAGUGAUGGUGAUGGUAUAAAAAGCUGCAUAGAUGAUGCUCUUAAGUGUGGUCCUUCAGGAUUCACCAUGAAGCCUAACACAGCUAAUGGACCUAGGGUCAUAGAGAAUCAACAGGUAUCGGGAAAUUGUUUUACUUUGAUGCGUAAUUCUCUAUUCUAUGCCUGUUUGGCCUUGCUUCUAGAGUGGCUUCUUUGACUUGAAAAGCCACAACUACUUGUUUAGCAAAAACUUCUAGAGAUUUCGUUUGGCGGGAAGCUGAAACGAGCCUUUAAGUCAUACAAGUAGAAGCUCCAAUUUGAAGUUCUUCUUCAGCUUAUUGAGAAGCUUUCGGAGGGUUUAUUACAACUUUAUUAUAACUUGGCCUAACCAUCCUACUCAAACAGUACUUAGUUGAAGCUCCAGCAAGGCCAAUAACAGGACCUUCGUGAAUUUAAAUCCGGAAGUUUCUCAUAAUCAUUCUUAUUUUCAUGACUAUCAGGAUAGGUAUGAGGGGCAUUGUGAAGUAAAAACGAAUUCCGAAAGGCUAAAUAGUUCCAUUAGUUCUGCCUCAGAUGGAUCAAGAGAUGGCAAUCAAGUAGAUGCUAAUGCUAAUACUAAUACUACAAAGUGCAAGAAUGCUUUUGAAGAUAUAUUACGUUCGGAGAAGUUUGUCUUAUUAUGUGAUUUUCUUUACAAAGUUUUCCCAGAUAGCAAAAGCAAAACAUACUUUGAUUUUAGCCUAAUCAAUUCAAAGAUGAAAAAUGGGGAUUACGGGCGAUCACCAGAAUCAUUCAAUCAAGAUAUCCAAAAGGUAAUUGUUAACAUCCGCCUCAUGUUAUCUUUCUUCUUCUCUUAGUUCUUUUUCGUUUUUUCCCCUUUAAAUCUCUAUUUUGUGCUUUUUUGUAGCUCUAUUUAGUAUGUAUGCGUUACAGCUCGAGAUGCCCUUAAAGUGUCCUUGUUGUUAUUGAGGGAGCAAUAUAAGUAUAGUUCGGCAGCAAAAGAGUUCUGUUUGCUCUAGAUUCAUGGUUUCUGCCUCUUUUUUUUCCCGUAGAAGGUUUGCACAUAUUUUUGGGUUUGAAUUAAAGAUAUCAACUGUAGGGUCAAUUUAGCUUUCAAAUACAAGUUGAAUUUGCACGUAGCGGGAAAAACUUCUCUUCCUUAUUCUAACAAAAAAAAAUAAAAAUCGAACUAUAUUUGAUGGAUCUUGCAAGUUAAGAAUUGUUGAGAGUUUAAGAGAAGUGCUGAGAUUUCAAAAUUAUUUCAUGUUGCUUGAUUAUAACUGGUAAGAACUCUGUACAAUUCAACCAAAUUGAAAUCAGUUAAUCUUGUUGGAUAAGACAUGUAUAAGCUUUCUUACAUAUUCCACAUUAUAAGUUUUAAUGUCCUUCUGUGCUUUUCCACUUUCCUCUCAGCCAUGCAUAGUUUGAAAUGUCCUCUUAUUGCCAUGAAAGAUGUAAUGGACCAUCAUUUUUUUUUUUUUUUUUUCUAUUUGAGUUUCCUGGUUUUGUUUGCUCUCCAGGGCUCUUAAUCAUCAGGAAACUUAAUAUACAAACCACGUUUUAAUCUAUUCAUCUGUAUCAAUUAAAAUGUAACAAAUUGACGUGCCUCUUUAAAUAUUCCUGCAGGUCUGGGAGGAAAUGCAAAAAGCUGGUCAGAACAUAAUUCAUCUAACAAGCAGCCUCUCAAGUGUGUCGAGGGCUUCUUAUCAGAAGCAGGUACUAUCUGUGGUCCUCUCAUAUUAAAUUUUUCUUAUCAGCUUGAUCCGUUUGUGAAUUCUGAAUACCCCCUGCAAAUGCGCAAAUUUGUGCAAAUACCUCUGCUAAGUUGGUAUUUGCAUAUGAGCCAUUGGAAAACUUGUUUAUUUACACAUACAGGGGUAUCUAUGAAAAAAUGAUUUUUGUGUUUAUGUCCCUCACCAGCAUGAAUGCAGAUAAGUAUGGUGUCAAAGUUACGCAUGCAAAUACCUCUCUGCCUGGAUAUUCAAGCAAUUUCCCAUGUUUCCAAGGGUAUAUAUGCAAAAAAAAAAAAUCUUGAAUUUGAGAAAACGAUGAGGAUCCUUAUAGGUCCUGAAGUUUUUAUUUAUUACCUAUCUUCUGUUAAAAUUCACACCUUUGAAUGUGAUGAUCUUUGUAAUCAUGCCUCUAUGUGGGCUGAUCCAAGCUAAAUCUGUAUAGAUUGAUGGAGAUUUGGAACUUGGGGCGGGUGAACACAAGUCCAAGGCAAGUGACAUUUACUCAUGUUUUGUGAAUUUUUGGCAUAUUUAACCCUGCAGAUAUGCGGGAUUGCAUAAGUAAACUUUAUCUGCAGGAAUUGCAUAAUUAAACUUACAAAGUUAGUAGACGGAUGCAUGCCCCUGGAAUCUGUAUGUUUGCAUUCAUGUCCCUGCUAGGGUAUAUAUGUAAAAAAAACCAAAUUUCCUUUUGUACAUCAAUGGGGUCGCAUCUUCAAAUAAGCAAGCGUUUUAGGCUGGGUUGCACACUUAAAUAACAAUUUUACAGGGGUAUAGGUGAAAUCUCAUAAAAUUGCAGGGUUGUAUAAUUGAAAAUCCAUAUUUUGGUCGAUAUCAUGUGCUUAAUUUAUUUAUUAGAGUGUUCUUUACUCAAUAUUACAUUAUUAAUGCAGGAGAACUGUGUUGUUGAUUUGGAACCGAAGAACUCCUUGGAGUCACACACGACCGUGCAGUUCACUUCCUGCAAUUCAGACCCAUCCACUAAGCUGGAUCAAACUGAUGCCUCCGUCCCGUAUAAAAUUUUCUCAUGCAAACACUGUGGUCGAGAAGCUAAUGGUGAGCAAACCCUCAUGUGUGAUGGGUGUGAAGAGAUGUACCAUUUAUCAUGCAUUCAGCCCCCAAUCAAACCAAUCCCGACCCGUAGUUGGUACUGCAUGGUCUGCCGCACUAAUAGUAUACAGUUCAAGUCCUGCAAUGUGGACCCAUCUACAAAACCAGAUCAAACUGAGGCCUCCGGCCUAUACAAAAUUUUGCCGUGCAAACAGUGUGGCCAAGAAGCUAAUGGCGAUCGGAGGCUUAUUUGUGAUGGAUGCGAAGCAAUGUACCAUUUCUCAUGCCUCCAACCGACUGUCAAAUCAAUCCCGACUAGGAGUUGGUACUGCACCACCUGUCGUCCUGUUCAGAAGGAAUCGCCCAAAUCUCAUCAAGACAGCUUGCAUGAGAAUUGUGUGGUUUGUGAUCGCCUUGAGGUCUCCGAAACUGUGGAAGCCAAUGAGAAUGGAAGCGUGAGAGAGGGCUCAGAACACUCUAGUUUGGAGUCCAAGGACCCUCCGGGACUUUCUAGAAAUGCUCUCUCUCGCUUGUGCAAGCUAUGCGGAGCGUGUGAAGACGACGACAAGAGAUUUCUAAUCUGUGGCCACGUUCACUGUCCUUACAGGUACUACCACAUAAGAUGCCUAAAGACUUCCCAAAUUGCUAGCGAGGCGCAACGAAAUAAGCCCUGUUGGUAUUGCCCUUCUUGCCUAUGCCGAGCUUGUCUCUCUGAUAAAGAUGACGAUAAGAUUGUGUUAUGUGAUGGUUGUGAUGAGGCGUACCACAUAUAUUGCAUGGAACCACCUCGGAGUUCUGUGCCCAAGGGGCUAUGGUAUUGUAUUCCGUGCAACGUGGCAAGGGCAAAGGAGGGGAUGAGGAAGUAUGAACAGAUGAUUUUACAGCAACAUAGAAAGAAUGAUUUUAAUAAGGUAGGUUACGAGACUAACGGGUCGGUGGAUUUGCUGCUUAGUGCUGCGGAGAAGUUGAAGUUUGAGGAGCACAUCAAUGGCAAGUAGAGAUUUAAGGUGGGUACUAAGGCCUGAAACAUUGCUGUUUAAGUCCGAUAAAACUGGAGGAUUUUUUGAUUGGAUUAGGCUGAGUUUUGUCUCACCUUUUCCAUGUACUAAUAUUGUACAAUGUUGGUAAGGUAAUGGUGUAUGGUGGGAGAAGAAUAUGCAGCUGGAUAAAAUCUCUGAAGAAUCUUGGCAGAAUUUGUAUUUUGUGUAUUCAUUUUACCAAAAAUGUUAGAAAGCAGAGUAGAAAGUUGCAGGUGUUUCUUCCUUUUUUUUUUUCCUCUUAUUUCUUUUGGGUUUAAUUUUGCUAGUGCUGUUCAUCAGUUGUAAUGCCCUUGAAGCAACAUUUUGUUAGGGCAUUUCCCCUUAUGAAAUUCCCAGUGUAUUAUGUGUUUCUUUAUGAGAAAGAAUUACUGGUCAUGUACCUCCUGGUCACCAUGCUGUAGCAUUACUACUACUACAUACAUUCAUCACGGAUGUACAAAUAAUUCAAUUUUGUUGUGAAAGUAUGUGACCGCAUUAUGUUCCUUUUUACCAAUGUUCAUGGUGCUCUUGGUUUGAGCUUUGAUAUGUGGUUUUAUGUUUUAGGACAUGCAAAAGGUUUCUGUAAUAUGUGUGAUGAUGUAAGAGAAUCGGAAAAUUUGAAAGUUUUAUUCCUUGAGAAUCGUGCAAUCAUGAAAUCAAUUUUGUAUUUCCUAUAAGGACUGAUCUCUGAUUUGCAAGUUAAGAAAUAGAUUUUGAAAUUAUGCUUCUUUAACUAGUUGUUUGCUGGUGUGUGUCAAAUUCAAUUGUAAAAGCAAUUAAACAAUUAACUUCGAUAUUCGGGGCAUUUAUAUGCUGAUUUUGUACAUUGGAUUCACUUUGGAGUCUGCAGUUGCUGUCUUAAAGAUGCGCAGGCAUGUUUUUGUUUUACAAUAAAUGCAUUUCUGCGUACUUGGAAAAUAAAAAGAAAUCGACAAAACACAUUUUACAAACAGUUUUAAUUCGAACUGAAUUAAGGUUCAAUCCAAAAAUAUAUGUGGCGCUUGCAACUUUUCUGAUUUCUGUAAUCAGAUCCCUUGAUAAAUUCCAACCUGGAAUCUGUGACUUCGUGAGAUGUUCGUACAAUAUUAAAGGGGUAUCAGAUCGCUACUGCACGCAAUUGUAUCACAAUUUUUCGUAGUCUUUUAGACUCAUGAAAAGAAAAGGUAUCCUAAUGGUAUUGAUCACUGUAUUAAUCAUCCUUCUAAUUUCCGAAUCAAUGCAUUUGGUCUAGAACUUGAACAAGUAUAUAGAAAAAAAAUUCUGUAAAGCAGGAGCAUCUAAUCUCUCUGUUAGUUAUUAACCUUUUGGAACAAUGCUGUAAAAGGAAAUCAUCAUAUUCAUCUUUGAUAAUUGAUUGCAUCAAAGAAUUUUACUAAGCACGACUGAAUUGUAUAGAUGGAUUUUCGAACUACCGACUGGCUUAUCGAUCCAGGAAGUUCAAAGCCUCGAUAUCCCGACCUACUACACUCAAAUGGCCAGGACGGGCGGCUGUACAUUUCUAGAACACGCUCAAAAUGCAUGAGCGCUUCUUCACAGUUUACUUUUGUGUUGUAUGAAAGCAUUCUAACAGAAACAAAAGCAACUGCACUCAGUUUAUUUUUCAACUCCAAAUUGCAGGAUCUAAUUAAGAAAUUGGAGCACAUAUUUUAUCUCCUUUAUUCCUCCAGCAAACAGCUUUUUGUCAGAAUAGGAAUAGUACCAUGACACACAAUUUGUUUUCAAGCUAAAUGCUAGCUCUGCAUACAUGCAUAGCAUAGACGAUAACACCCAGUACCAUCCUGGCAAAUCUUUUGCAAGAACCGUAGCACAUCUUUGUUUUCAAGUACCUUUUUAGCCUAGCUUCGAUACAAAGUGCUGUUUAGUUAAGUUGUUUCUAUUUAAACAUAUUGCUUGCUAAGUUUUGGAUAUAUAUAUAUAUAUAGAACUAGGCUACUAUGCUAUUAAUAGCACCAGGAUAUUGUUGCUACCAAGUUUUUGGCCAUUGGAUUAAGAGAUGUGCGGUUGGGAUGAUGUGGGCCCCCUAGGUUUGAGUGGGUGGUUGGUUGAAUAGUAUGAUCUAACGGAUGAAAAUGAUCAAAAGGGUAGAUCUAACGGCGGAAAACUUGGUAGCACCAAGUGCUUCGUACUAUUAAUAGCAUAGUAGCCGGACUCUAUAUAUAUAUAUAUAUAUAUAUAUAUAUAUAUAAUUAGAACCAAUCCUAAGCUCCACCCACGCAUUAUGUGAGAUCUGAAGGUUCGAUCCCCAUCUUCAAUAUUUAACAUGUUAUCUUUCUAUAUUAUAUUUUAGGGUUAAUUUCAUACAGAUUCCUAUAAAUAUAGUAAUGACAGAUAUACCCAUAUAAAGUUCAACUUUCAUAUCUUGUUCUUACAAAAGUCAUGAUAUUUUCAAAUAUGUCCAUACCGUUAGAAUCCGUUAGAAAAAUUUAGUUAAUCAUUGGUUAAAUAUUUUACCCGGAUUCAUUUUUGACAUUUUUAUCCCUCUUAUAUUACAUUGUUAUGACUUUUGGAAGGACAUAUUUGUGACGGUAAAAUUAGAAAUAUAAACAAUUCUCUAAUGGUUCUCUAAUGGCAACAAACAGAGGAACAUAUUUGAAAAUAUUAGAAUUUUUGUAGAAACAAUAUGAAAGUUGAACUUUGUAUGGAUAUAUUCCUGAUUCACUAUAUUUGCAAGGACCUGUAUGAAAUUAACCCUAUAUUUAAUAGGUCAAAUGACUAUCUCUAAUUUACUUGUUAAUUUCAGUCUUUUAAAUUCAUUCGUAUUUAGAAGGGAUGUUAAAGAUUUUUCUAAACUAUUUGAAUGUGUGUAUAUAUAUAUAUAGUCCAGCUACUAUACUAUCAAUGGCAACUAACAUUUGGUACUAUCAAGUUUUCUGUCGUUAGAUCUACUACUUUGAUCAUUUUUACCCAUUAGGUCAUACCAUUCAACCAAUCACUCACUCAAUCCUAGAGACUACUAUUAUCCUAAACGCACAUUCUUUCAUUCAAUGGCCGAAAAUCUAAUGACACUAAUGACUUGAUACUAGUGAUAGUUUCUAUAUAUAUAUAUAUAUAGAGUAGGGCUGCUGUGCUCUCAGGAGCACGAAGGCCUCCGUGCUCUUGAGCCGUUUUCGAUGAUGGAAUUUUCGAAUCGACGUUCGGCUCCGUUAGACUUGAUCUAGUGUAUUUGAAGUUUCUAGAAAAUAAUUUUUGCGAAUUUUUGAUAUCAUUUACCUAGUGAUCGAAAUGAUUCAAAAUCAAUAAUUUUUAAUGGUUGAUAUCUGCCGUUUUCAAGUUUAACGGUGUAGAAGUAUUCAAAUCAGAUGAAAUUUUGAUACAAAAUUCUUUAUACUAUCUACAAUAAGAUCAACAUUUCUGAUAAAAAAUUUUAGUGCUAUAUCACCAGUUUUUAUAGAAUUUUUAUUUUCAGCCGUUAAAAAUUAUUGAGUUUGAAUCCUAUCGAUUGCUAGGUAAAUGAUAUCAAAAAAUCCGAUAAAAAAUUUCUCAUAAAACUUCAAUACGGCUUUAGGAUUCAAGUUGCUACAGAGGUGGCCGAAUAUCGAUUCUCGCCAAUUCCGCGCUGGCUGGGUCAUCGGGGGGAAAACGGGGGGCGGGUGGGGGCGAGGCUCGAAGGGGGGCACCGAAGGGGGCUCUCGCAAGCGGUGGGGUUGAGGGCAGGGCGGGGAGCCCUUACGUUCUCUUCGUUCUGCCUUCUGUCCUCUGGUUACCAUUAUCGUUCUGACCUAGCAUAAUUACAGCUUAACUCUCCUUUGCUGAUACAACUCAAUGGAAGAAAAAUAACAUAUAUCGAAAUAAAAAGAAAAAAAGAAGAAGAGUUUGUAUACUCACAUAUUUGAGUACAUGUUAAUCUAGGUUGGAAAUAAUCAAGAAAUAAUAAAUUAUGUUAUUGAAUAGAAUCUAUGAUUGAGACAUACAUAAUUGUGAGAAGCAUUAUAGGCUUUGGUGUGCGAUAAAACUGAACACAGCGAAUAUACAAAUCUAUGGAAGAGUUCUCAGAGGUAUAGGCCACUAUGAUCCUCUCUACUGUGAGUAAGAGCAUCUCUUAUAUAAUCCUCCUACAAUUUCCUUUCUCUUUUUCCACUGAUGCGCUAUUUCCACUCUCCUCGUCUUCAUCGAUGCUCUCCUGUCGUUUUACGUAUAUUGGCUUGUGAUAUUCGUCACUUAUUUUGACAAUAUAUUUUUUGAAUAAAACACUCCACUUCUUUAUAAAUUUUACCUCUCAGGGGGUAGGUACGUCACAUGGAGGGGUGGUGAGGGCGAAUGCGUGAGAGAAAAGCCACCUGGGUGGCUCUUCUGCGAUGAGCGCGUUCUGUGCGUGCCGCGUGCCUGGCCGCGGUGGUUUGUUAUCGUGCGUGGUAUGAAAUAUCUAUAAGAAUGGUUGACAGAGGUGCGUGUGAGUCUGCCGGUCCAGGCGUGCGGGGCAUGACUCUGUCGGUUCGCGGUGUUGAGCCUGGGCGCGCAAUGCUUUUGUAACAGAGAUUCGUAUAACAGAUCUUACGAGAACGGUUUCUCAUGUGCUCUCAGUUUACUUACUCUCUCUGUAGUCUUCUCGAUAUAAUUCGUAGUAUAAGUGGUCUCCUCUCUCACACAUACAAAUAUGAGAUGUUCCUAGUUUGAGGGUUAUUGGAUAGGAGGAGGAUUUUUCUUUUGUCAUGACACUCCGUAUAUGAUAGAUACUCUAAACUCUCCUCAUACAUGAAGUUGAAUGCUGUUUGAAUUACAUAACACCUUGAAUUUAUAAGUAAGAGUAUCGCCUGAUUUAAUUUUUUGAGUUAAUUACAUGAAUCUUUAUCUCUUCGAGAUUACGUCAGAAGCAAGAAUUCUUUUUCGCUUUAUGAGCAGAGUGCUUUUCUGUCAUAAUCACGAGAAUUUUUUAGGUCAGUAUACAUUUAUUUCUUUAAAACACGACUCUGAAAUUCUUUUACUCAACGCAUAUCACAUCCCUAUCUUUAAAUAUUUAAUUCUAUUCUUGUAGAAUCUCUUUCUUGAGAUACGAGAUAGGGAUGAGUGAGAAAUGGUCGCAGUCUCGAAUAUUCGAGAUUAUAGGUUCUCAAAUACUUUUAUUGGUGAUAGAGAAUCAAGUUCUUAGGGCAGAUGCCGGAGCAGCAUCAGGACGACGCGGCGAUCCGUCAAGUUGAAAGCGCGACCAUUGAAACCAAACUGUAGCACGGAGGCGGGGCGUAGCUACCGUGUAUACCAGCCUAGCUCCUAUAUACGUGUAUUAGUAUAUAUAUAGUAGUAUAAUAGGUGUAUAUGUCCGGCUAUAUGCUAUUUAAUAAGCACGAGUGUUUGGGUGGCUACCACUUUUCCGGCCGUUAAUCUACGUAUUUUGAUCAUUUUCACCGUUAGAGACGCUACUAUUCAACCAACCACACUCAACCCCUAGGGCCCACAUCAUGUACCGCACAUCUCUUAAUCAAGGACAAAAAUUGGGUAGAGCCCCAAUGAUUGGUGUAUUAAUAGGGACAUAGAGACUAGUUCUCAUCUUCUGCUCCGGGUAACUGAUAUAUAAUACCUUCUCUUCUCUCUUCUUCUCUGGCUCUCUCUCUAUAUAUAGGUGGGUGUAUAUAUUAUAAGAGAGUGCGAGAGGAGAGACGGAGAGAGACGAGAGAGAGAGCACUAGGCUUGGAAUACAUCAAUAGCACCAAGUGUUAGUGCUAUUAGUGUUUUUAGUUAUUGGAUUGAGAAUGUAUGCGAGUGUGUGUGUGGGCACCUGGGUUGAGAUGGGUGUGUGUGUGUGAUAGUCGUGUGCUAACGGUAAAAAUAAUCAAAGGUUAAAUCUAAUGGUGGAAAAACUUGAUUAGCCACCAAAUCCUUGGUGCUAUCAUAGUAUCUCAGCCGGACUAAUAUAGUAAAUAUAGUAUAGUAGUAUAUAUAGGUUAUAUCUAUAGUACUAUAUAUUAGUGUGGGGUAUUAUAUAGUAAAGUGAUUAAUAGUGUCAUAUAUCGUUUUAUGGCUAUUAAUAGCACGAACACUGUUGCUACAAGUUUUUCCGCCAUUAGAUUACCAUUUUGAUCAUUUUCACCCGUUAGAUCAUACUAUUCAAUCAACCACCCACUCAACCCUAGGGGGCCCACAUCAUCCUAACCGCACAUCUCUUAAUCCAAUGGCUAAAAACUUGGUAGCACUAAUGACUUGGUGCUAUUAAUAGCAUAGUAGCCUAGUUCUAUAUAUAUAUGUCACGCCCCGAGCCCGAUCCUUUUGGCCGGUUCGAGUGCGUCGAACAGACGCCGAACGGACAGAGUCUCCCCUGUCCGCCCAAGGCUCAACAUUCUGUACAAAUAGAGUAUGAAUUUUGCACAAAACGGAAGCAUACACACAAUGGCUUGCACGAGGGCAAGCGAUAGCUAAUAGUUAAAGUAAUAAACUACACUUAGAAAAUUGUUUACAUUUUUGUAUCAUUUCUUCUCUUUUACAUUACAUGAUCUCAAAAUAUAAGUUCUAGCAUUAAAAUAUAAAAUAUCUUUUACAUCAUUCAUAUUCUUUUUCUUUAACAUCUAUAGUCAUCAAAAUACAAAAAGGCGAUGUAUAAAGGUAUGCAACUAUAAAAUGGAAACCCCUUCGGGAGGUCUCUAUCUAGGGCGCGAUGCCCUUACCCCGAUCAUCCGCUGGCUCGGUCGGUCCGGGCUCUGUGGAAAUAGUACAGCGAGAACUACAACAAAGUUUCCAGUGGGUUCGGCAACCGACCACGCCGACUUUCCCACUAGGUCUAAAUUAGGCAUAAUAGAAGAAUAAAUAAAUAGUAACCAAGCUAAAGCAAAUACAGCUAAUAUGCUUAAACAAUAAAUAAUGCUAUGCUCAAUAAAGUACUCAUGAUGAAUGCAAGGUUACUGCUCAGAACCCAAUCUCUAGGCUAGCCCGUAGGUUUCGCCCACAAUAGACUCACCAACUCAAAUCCCAAAAAUCGGAGAGACUACUACACCCAGUGAUGACAACUCUGGAGCACAUCGCCGGAGGGGGAGUUACCACCCUCGAGUAAGGACUUACAGGUGAGUAUGAUCCAAUCAUUAACUAUAAGGAUGUCAAGUUCAAUCCAUUCCUUAACUAUAAGGAAAUAAUGCACAUAUGACUCUUAACUCUGAGGUUGAAAUUGUCAUAAUGUCACUAUCACACCUUUACUUGCAUUCUUUUCUUUCACUAGCGUCAUAUACACUGCUAUAUUCUUGUACACAUGCCACGCUUGUUUUCUAAGUGUUCCAAUUCUAGCAUUCUCGACUCUUCAAUGUCACUUUCUACUUCUAUAUCAAGAUGUCACAUUUAUUUACUGAGUCCACUAAGUUCUUGUCACUUGUUAUGCAUAAAUAGGGUUUAUAAAAUUCUUACAUUCUUGCUAGUAAUUCACAUGCAUUUGUACUCACAACAUGCAAUGAAAUGCUCAUAUAUAACCCUACUAUGCAAUUUUUAUGCUCAAUACACAUAUGCUCAAAUAGGACACUUUAGACAUAAAAGGAAUUCCAAGGUCUUCGGAGUGCACCGCCCACCUUAUAUGGUUGCAAAGGUGCUACAAUGAAUUUCUUGAAAUUUUUUGAAGCCCUAUUCCUUCGCCUGCGGCAAAAUGAAGCCAAAUUAGGCUUUUUCUCAAUAACUUUAUCUAAACCUUUUUAUAACGUCAAACGGAGUUGUCCCACACGUCGGGAAUACCCCUAAUUAGGUUUCCAAGAGGUCAAUUUACCUCGAAAACAACCGGAGGUAAAAGCCUCAAAAUUCAUGCCCUAACAAUGCCAUAUAGGGUUUUCUCCUUGAUUGAUCUCAUUCCUAAGUAAAAACUAGCUUAGAAUCAAUUAGCAAGCAUUCUAAUAUCAUCACUAAGUUAUUCCAAGCACCCCUAGGGCAUUUACUUUAAACCUUAGUUGUUCACCAUUAGAGCAUCUUGGGAAAACCAUGGUUUCAUGGUGAACAAAGCUCAACAAAGCUUCUAAUCAUGAGAGAAGCUCAAAACUCUAGUUCUAUAGUGAAAAUCCAAACCCUAGAUGAGUUUUUACCCUAAACUCACCUUAGCCAAAAGCUAUCUCCAAGUCCACCUUGUAGGAGAGUCCUAAAUCUUCUCCAAGCCACCAAAAUCGAAGUUUCUCCUUCAAAUCUUCUCCAAAUCCACUUUUUGGAGAGCUCUCUAGAGAGAGAAAAUAAAAUAAAUGAGAGGGAGGGGGUGAAUGGCUGUGGGAGAGAGAGAGAAGGGGUAUUGGGGUCUUAACAUGUUGUAACAAUUACAACAAAACCCUCCAAAAAGUCUUAUUUGCAGCAGUUCAAUUCUUUGCUGCCAAACCAAAGUGUACCGGUACACGGGUUCUUGUACCGGUACAUUUUUUGCUCAGAGGCAACCCGAGAGCAAACUUCUCAGAUUUUACCAAAGUGUACCGGUACACACCAGGGGUGUACCGGUACAUAUUCGCAAAAAAUCAAACCCGAGAGUAUACUCUUCUCGGGCUGCAGGGCUGUAUCGGUGACAACUCGAUGGUUGUUCCGGUACACUUUGCUCAGAAUAUUAGUUUUGUGCCAUUUUCGAUUCUAUUUCGCGUCAAUCGAUGCUAAAACCUUUCUAACAUCUCUUAAACUCAUUUUUAGCUUUUCCAACCUUAUUGGAAUGCUAAACGGAACUUGUCCAUCAAUUUCUCUCUGUACUUUAACCAAUUUGGCUAAAGUUUGAUAAUCGCUAUCGAGAUUUCAAUAGGUUACAAUAUAUAUAUAUAUNCCAUUUUGUACCCUAUACUCAAAUUCUCCUGCGCUUUGGAUCUUUUACAGCUCUUGUUUGCCUGAGACUUGUACUUGGACAUCUAAAUCUUUCUUAUUGUAGCAUAUGAUGGAUCAUUAGUUGAUACGGAUACUAGUUUGAAUUUGGUUGAUGCUUGAUUUUGUGUGGGUACGAGUCCAUAUUUCUGAGAAAUAUCUUCAUCUUUUAGCUCUUGUUUAUGUAGUGAUUAUCUUUCUACCGGACUUGUUUCUUAAUUAAACAAAGAGAUAUACUGAACAAAAUACCCAUGCAUCCAAAUACGCUUUGAGCCUUUAUAUCCUAGUAGCACUUCACAUGUAAGCAACACUUCCAUUCGAUUUAGUCAAACUGGUCUAUUACUGACUCUGUUCUGCGUUUGUAGUUUUCUGUUUCUAGUUCUUUUCUUAAAAUCUCCCCUUUCCAUUCCAGUCCCUAUGUCAGCAUUGGUAAGGUGAAAACAUGUUUGGAAAGUAUAAUUUAUCUAGAAGCUCUAAUGUGUAAGCAUAUCAAAGUCAGGAGGUUAGGCUCGGCACGUAAAAUUGGUUUCAACUUGGCUGGGAUUUUUAGGCAUAUGAAUAUCAGGAUAUGUUGUAUUUUCCUCUGUUCUUAGCAAUUUUUGGUGCUAAAUAGGGUUCUAGUACUUGCAGCUACAAUGCUUCGCAGAUAGGUGGAUGUAUGGCUCACGCGUUAUUAUGCCUCUUAAUUUUCUAAAAUUUAAUUUUCUUUCUUCUGAAAGGGACUACUAUGGAACCAUCAAUUUCAUUGGUAUUUCACCCAGGAACUUUUCUCCAUGAUUUGGCCUUUGACUCUCUUUUUUAUAGUGAUUUGAAUUUUUUUUUUUACUUUUUGUUAUUUAGCAGUAUAUGAAAGUGGAACUUGGGAAAAUAAAUAUUUAAUGUGUGAUUUGUUUGUUUGCUUAGAAAUUUUAUGAUCGAAUGCUUAGGAUUAUGACUGCUUUUGUGAAUAAUGCAGUCAUAAUCCUAGUUCUUGAUUGCAUAGGAGCAAGACUAUACAAGUCAAUAGUCUUUAAAGAAAAUAUCGAAUGCUUAGCAAAUGUGUACGUAGUUAGAGGAUGGACAUGAAUUGUCCAAAUAUGGAAGGGGAGUUAAUGCACAACCAUAAGAAAAUCCCUAGUCUUUGACAAAGUUGCAAAAUGGCCCUUCAUUUACUUCAUAUUUAGGAAAUGUAGGGAUUGGGAGCAUAUCUGGAGAAGAUAUCAAGGUGAACAAGUGUUGGCAUUAGGGCUAGAAGAGUUAUUGCAUGGGAACAUGAUGUCAUAUAUGGUUUUCACCUUGAGUGAAUCUUUUAGGGUGGUAUAGCCAAUUCAGUGGGCUCCAUGGAUGUAUUUGGAAACUUUUUUUUAUUUUUUUAAAAUAUAUUUUGUUGAAAAUGUGAAGUAACUAGGCUUUGAAUUUUGAAUUCCUAGCACCAACCAUCAAACUCUUUAAUUUUCACUUACGGUGGGGAUGAUUGUUUACGUUUUCAUAUAUUGUGUUUGUUUGGUGGGCCUAUUUUGGCCCAUAAAGGGCUUGUGAAUUUUCAUAUAGGCUUGUUUUCGAAAGUGAGGCUUAGAAGUGUGCAACUGUACAAUUCCCAUAAUGAUUUUCUUUUUCCAGAAACUUGCUCUUGAGAACAUUAAUGUAUUUUUGAUGAUUUGUUAUUAACCUCUAAAACAAAAGGAUAAUAUCUCAUAAAGAAAAUAAUCAAGUAAAUAAUUAUUUGAAUUAGAAAGCAGCAGCUCAAAUGCGUGAUAUACCAUAUAUAAAAAUGAAGCGAAGCAUAUUCACGUUCAUUAACAAAAGAGAUAAUAAAAUAGAUAGCUACUGAAAUAAACUCACUUAACGAUGGAUAUGUUAAAUGAUGUAUUCAUUUGGAAAAUUUACAUAGAACUUGUCUAAAUUAUUAGCUACUUUGAUCCAUCUAACCUUUAAUAAGUUUUGAUUUUGCUUUCUAUUUUUUAGAUUUAAGUGAUUUGAGUUGUUCAACUGCUUUUCAAUUUGUGAAUUUAAGCUUAUCUAAUUUGAUUGGAGUGCUUUAUAUGAUUCUUGAAAUAUUUAUUUCUCAUAUAUAGAUGCUUGUUUCUUCUUUUUGCAGCUCUUAAUGCCAGUUGAACCGAAUAUCCAAGACAUAGGUGGUAUUGAAAAAUUCGAAAAGAAAUACUUCAGGUUCGGCUAACUUUGGUACUAACUCAAAGCUUAAAAGGCCUAUGCGCUCUAAGGAAAUUGUAAGUUCUUUUUUUCUUGCUUAAAUUUAUAUUUGUUUGCUUCGUGGCUUCAAUGCUGAGCAACUUCCACUUCCUUUUCCUUUCGAUUUGUGUGUUCUCUCAAAUUGGAGAAUUUUUAAAAUGUUACAAAUCAUGAACCAAACAAGCCCAAAGGGUGAAUCUUCAUGCUUUAGUGUUCGGCAUUUGGUAUAUUGAUUAGAUUUAUUAGCUUUGAUUUGGUCAAAUGGUUGAAUAGGCAUGGAAUUGGACGAUUUCUAUUGAUAAUAGGAUAAUUUGCAAUAGUUGAAAUAGGAUAAAGUUACAAAUCAUUAUCGAUCAAAUCGUUAUUAAAUUAAGAUGGAUUCGGAUAUUCAUUUCUAAGGACGUGAUCUUUGGAUGAUGCAUUUGUGAUCGAAAUCGUUUAGGUUUUAUUGGUUUCGUUUUAGCUCAUUCUUGAUUUGAUAAUUGGGGUUUUGCUGUGUGGAUUGUAUCUAAUUUGGUAAAAUUGAAACAAUUGAAUACGAGAUUAUUGGGUCCAAAAUAGGUUUUGGCUGUAAUAUUUUGUGUACUUAGUGUAGUGGUUUUAUUACAUUAUUUGUUGAUUGCAACUUUGGUGCUUAAAGACAACUUUUUUUUUCUUUUUUUUUUUUUUUCUGUUCCUUAACAAGUUAAUACCUUUUUGGUUUUUAAGUUUUCAGUUGCAGUAUUAGUGUAUGGAGGAACAUGCUAUUGCUAGUAUUAAUGCUAUUAAGGCUUAUGAACUGCAAAGAAUAUAUUCUCAUGAGUUAUGGCAUAAAUUUGGUGUAUUAUAUUGUAUUAUUGAUUAUAUGUAAGGCAAGGAUUAGAAACCACUUAAAAUUUGCAGCAUCUCUUUGUUCUUUUGCUUCCUCUUUGUUCUUCUCUUAAUCAAAAUCUGAUUAAUUGCUUUCAGCUCUAACUUAAUUGAUUUCAUAUUUUUCAUCCAUUGUUAAGUGAAUUGAUAUUUUGGGGCAAUCUCUUUUGUCCUUUUGAACCAUAAAAUGUAGGAUAUUUUAGGGCAAUUUCUCUUGUCGUUUUGAAUGAUAAAACUUGUCCCAAAAAAGAGUUCACCAAUCUUAGGAAAAUUCCUAAGUUCGUAUAUGGUGGGGGCGGACCAAAACUUUUGUUGUUUCUGGUAAAAUGAUACAAUAUGAAAUGAUGCAAUGUGUCCUCACUUUUUUGGCUCUUUUGUUGUUCUUUUUUUAUUGGUGGUGGGUUCAUUAAUCAGUGCUAUAUGCUUCACGAGUUGUGGUAAAUUAUUAAGUGCAAUAGAUUGGGGAGCCACCAUCUUAAUUACUACUUGUAUAUGAAAUGGAGAUGCAUAUAUUAAAUUGCAUUUUGAGUAUGAUAAUCUGUCACUUAAAUAAUGUCUUGCUCAUUGUCAA